Piliocolobus tephrosceles (Ugandan red Colobus) is the source of this 2423-nucleotide long non-coding RNA. RefSeq lists it as uncharacterized. The record is from RefSeq and is a predicted model, not a curated record. Lineage: Eukaryota; Metazoa; Chordata; Mammalia; Primates; Cercopithecidae. The transcript is spliced from 3 exons.
AGCCUCCCAAAGAGAAACUAUCUUUAGGCCUGCACUGCUCAAUAAAAGUUGUGUGAAGUGUAGUUCAGCACUGUGAUAAGGCAGUGUGCUAAGAUUUCAGUUUUCAAUGUUAAAGUUAUUUCUAACAAUUUGUUACUGUUCUUCUCUUAUGUAGCAUCAAGGAAAGAGUCUUCAGUCUCUUAGCUUGGAUAGAUUACAAGUCAUUCCUUCCCAUGAUUGUGAAUUCACUUUUGACGAGACCUCUUUCUAAGGUCUAGUGCAAUGACUGUGCUGUGCCAAUAACAGGCACUUACAAACUGCUUGUCUCAUUUAUUUUGAUGAUGCUGGUUUCCUAGUCUCUGCUGACGCAAAACCAUUCAACUGGACAGAGAUAAGCAGGGAGCCAUUCAGUCAUGACAUGAGAUCUGACACUAGCUCUCCUUUUGUAGACUGACUAGGCUAUCUCCCUUUCACAGAUGUUCAAAUUCACUAUAAUGAUUAUUUUAAAUAACUAUUACUACAUUCAUUGAGUGCCUACUGUUGGACUUGAUGCCUUAACACAGAGCAGUUCUUAAAUCCUAUGAGGUAGACAAAUGCUAUGCCCAAACUAUGGAUGAGAAAAAACAAGACCCUGGGAAAUGAGGUACUUGCUGAGGUCCUUAAAGCUAAUAAGUGCUGGAACUAGGAUUUGAACUCAGCUCUGUCUGACUCAAGAGUCCUGGCACUUAACAUUCUAUCCAUACUUGAAUUUGUGGAUUAUAGAACACUUUUGUUCUCUCCCCUUGAAUCUGGGGGCAGGCCCAUGCUCACAUAAAUCAUAGACACUGGGCUAGAGGGGCAAAAGCAUCCUAGUUUGCCAAAUGCUUUAGGUGAGGAUACUGAGAAUCAGGAUGAGGAUUUGAUGAUGGAGAUGUCAUGAGGCCUCCAGCAGGAACUGAAGCUCUUGGCUUGUCUUUUGCCCUCUCCUUCUCUAUUGGGAGGUCCUCUCAUUGCUGUUACCAAGCUUGUUUCUGGUCUUAAAUGCCUUCUUUUAAAACUAAACUUUAUAGAGAUGUCAGACUUUUAAAAGACACCCUUGUGUUGCCCUUCACCCUGUUCCUGACAACCUCCACUCUGUGCCUUCCUGCUGGUGAUUUCGGGGUGGAAUAGGGAACACAGGCAUCACCUAUCAUGAGGAAAGGUGACCCUUUUGCUUUCGUCAUGCUCUUUGUCUUUGCUCCUGUUUUGUAAGGACUUAACUCAUGUUGUCUUUCAGCCAAUUGUUUGGCAUAAUUAUAUUUUCUGUUGCAAUUUUAGUUCCCAGAGUUACAGAACAAACAGUCCCAUUAAACAUCAUCUCAAAGGGCUCUGCAGCUCAAUCCCUUCUUUUCCAGAUCUGGACCAAUGUGGAGGCUACUUUUGCCUUUCAGAAAAUGGACCCAGAUUCCAGUCAUUUCUCUAGGAAAUGACUUUCCCCUGGGUUUUAUAACUCAAUUUGCCUUUCUGUAAUUUUCAUCCCAUUAUGUGUUUGCCAAGAUAAAUGAUUCUUUCUUCUCUGUAUUGCAUUGUAUGUGUAAUGACUUUUCUUAUUUAUAAGGCCUCAAACUCAGAAACCUUAGGAUCAGACAGAGGAUGCAAUGAGGGAAGAAGUGUGUGAAUGCACCUUUGUAUUGUGUGAAUGGUGGGGCAAUGGUGACCUGGACAGAACUGUUCUUUUAAAACACUGGAAAGCAAACACAUUCCACCUGCAGCCCACAGUUAGCCCAUGAGCCUUCCAGUUUGCAAUCUCUAUUUUUCUUUCCAUGCCACAGUACCCAAAUUAGGUUACUCUUAUUGCCACAACAGCCCAAGAAUAUCCAGAUUAAUUAUUUCUCAUCACUGUGAGAUUAGAUGUAAUCUAAUUCUUGUUGUAAACAAUUCAAGAAGGGUCCUUUCCACCUUAAACAGACUUGAAGAUAAUAUCUGAGCUGCCCAGGUAAACGGUCAUAUCAGAGGGAAAAAAUAGUUGAUAAAGACUGUCUUCCUGAUUGUAACAUUUCCUGUUUUUCAGCAUCUUUCUGUAUUACCCAGUGCAGAUCAAAGUCAUAAGAAAAUUUUCAACAAGCUGACUGUAUAAAUACUCCAAAUUUAUCUAAAAUCAUUAACCUUGGGGAAGUCACUCAAUCUCUCUGAGACUUCCUUACCUACACACUGGAUAUAACAGUACAGAUCCUACCCAGCUUCUGGGGAUGAAAUGAAAUGCUGCAUGUGAAAACACACUGGAAACUAUAAAAUGCUAAUCAAAGAUGAGGAUGAAAAUAAAAACCAUACUGACUCAACUGCUGGGCAUUGUUUUCAUUUGACCCAUCUUCCCUUCUGUUUCCAAGAGCACAACGUGACACCCGGAGUAACAGUAGCUAUCUUAUGAAUGUGAGAAUGUGGAUCACACUAGAUUGAUGAACUGGAACUGCCCUAUCAGCCCUGCA